UCUCCUUCUUCACCUCCGUCAAGAACUUCCGCAACCCCAAGUGAGAUCGCUAAUAGUAUUUCUUCUCUGCACACCGAACUCUCUCCUGAACAUCUGUGAGCUGAAGAUGCGAAUUCUCUUUCUGUUGCCUCAGUUUCAGAAUUUCCACCUUCAAAAUGUUUUGGUCCUUCUUCAGUUUCUACAUUGAAAGCUCCUUCAUGCAUCUGUUCUACUUACUCCUCCUCCUUAUGUUCUUUAGCUAAUGCUUCUUCCCUCCUUCGAAUCCUUCAUUCGUAAACUCCCAACGCUCUCAAUCAACCUUCCUGAAGCCACCGGAAGAGUUUUACUUCAAAAGAGGUUUUUUUUCUGAAAUUUCUUAGUUUGUGGUUAUAAUUUGUUGAUACAUGCAUGUUUUAUAAUUAGUUUUAUUUCAAUCAAAAUUAUUCUUCUAUAUUUAAUAUAUUUGUUUUAAUAUACUGUAGAAAAAUAUAUUUGCUCCAAUAUGUGGAACUUAUGUAUAGUUUUUUUUUUAAAAUUGAAAAACUUACAUACUUUGUUUUUAACCAAUCAAACGUAUAAAAAUUCUCUACAGGCAGUUAGUUACAGACAUUAAAUGAUGAUUAAAAUUUCAAAAGUUACGUUUGCGUAGAAAUCUGGAAGCUGUAAAUAGUUGGAAAGUGAAAAUUACUUGCUUCUAUAUCACCUUUCACACACCGCAGGGGAUGAAGUUUUUACAUUAUCAUUCUUUUUUACAUCUAAAUUUACAAUUUCAUAAAUUAUUAUUUUAAUACAAUAUUUAAUUAUAUUUAUUAUUAUUAUUUUAAUAUAAUAUUUUAUUAUGAAAAGUAAUUAUCAAAUACUCGCUUACGUUCAUGUGACAACUAUUUUUCAUACUAAAAUAAUAAUAAUAAUAAUAAAUAUAGUAAAAUAAUUAAAAAAAUUAUAAUUUAAAAUAUAAGAUAAUAUUGAUGAUAUGAAAGUAGCAUCUUCAUACCUGCAAAACCAAAAGAGUACGCAUGGAUCGUGCACUAAAAAUGUUGACUCAUAACUCAAAUACUAUUCUUAUUAUCUCUUCUAAAUUCUAUGAUUUCUGAUGAUUUUUGGUAAGAUAAGAAAUUAUGAUAAUUUUAGAUUGUUUCAUUUUAGAGGUGACACUUUACUUAUGGUUGAAAUUUUAAUAAUUAUAUGGUAAGACCUAGGAAGAUUCUCACUAGACACAAACAUAACUAAGUGGUUAAAUAAGUGUUGAAGAUUCACUUCCAAAAGCAAAAGGAAAAAUACAUUAUAAGGUGAGAAUGAUGUAUGGUGCAACCAACAGAUGACUAAGGACACAUCAAUCACUUCACAAAAAGAAAGUAUCAGUAGAACAAGAGGAAGCUAUAAACCAGAAUAUUAGAAAUUCUUCCUUAUGGUCUUUUCCACAAGAGAAAAGUUAUGUAAAUAAAUUGGGCUCAUUUUAGGGGUCCAAAUAGCAAGAUAGGCUAGAAUAGGUGCCUUUAGCAUAAUAGGGGGUGUAGUUAUCAUUUUAGCUGGUUUUUUUACCUAGUUUCCAGAAGAAGUGGCCUAAGGUGCGGUUUUGACUUAGUCAAACCCUAAAGGUAGCCCCCUCACACAUUUACCAUCCUAUCCUUUCUCAUCUUGUUUUCCAAAGCACUCAUUCCUAUAAAUAGGGUGUCUUACUCCAUGUAUUUUCAAGUUGAUUUUUAUAGAAGAAGGAAAACUCUGCACAAAUUGUGUGAGGCUAGUUUGCUUUAAGCAUUAGGUCUUAUCUUGAGUGAGUUGAGAGUUCUCAAGUGGCAACCCUCUACACUCAUCUUGAAGAAACCACACUCCAAGUGGCGUGUCCAACUCUCUUCCAUCACCAUAAGCAUUCUUCCUUCAUCUCUUCUACCAUUUCCAUACGCCACUUAUCUUUUAUGCUUCCUAUAUUUGUGUUCCUUCAUCUUUUCCUUCAUGUUAUCAUGUUUCUUGUCAUGUCUUUUACAUUCCGCACCAUACAUCAUGUUCACUCUAUUAUGUGAUUUUCCUCUUUGCCUUUGGAAGUAAACUUUCACACUUACUUAACCUCUUGGUUAAGUUCCUGUCUAGUGGGGAUCCUCCCUAGGUCUCACCAUAUACUUGUUAAAAUCUCAAUCAUAAGUAAAGUGUCACCUCUAAAAUGGAACCAUCUAAAAUCAACUCACUUUAAGAAAUAAAGCUCAAAACACACCUGUAACACCAAGAGGGAAUGAGCUGCCGAAGCUCAAGGGUGGGCGCAAAGUCUCUGAAGUCGUCGAUGACGGCAUCAGUGUGGCCUCCACGAAGAGAACCCCUUGAUCGUCACAGUCAAUCUCCAUGUGAUCAUCUUCGUCUCGUCAUAGCCUUCCAGCCAUUGAAUAAAAGGGCAACACCUUUCUUAGGGCCUUCUUAAGAAUCUUUUCUCAAAAAAGUUGGACGCAUUGUUCGGUCUAAAGUAGACACUGAGCGUGUGGGAAUUGGACACCACCAGGUCGACAUUAGAGUUCCACAGCAACUGCCGGUCCACCUCUUUCGCUGGGCGCACCAGGGUUGAUUCCUUCACGUUGAUGUUCAAACUCCGUUCAAGCCGCUUUGCGCUACCCUUCUUCAUCAAUCAUUUUACUUCAGAAGAAAUCAAGAAAUGGAUCGAAGAGGGUGAGGUGGGAGAGGUAGUUACUAAGGUGAGAGAGGUAAACAAUGAAGAUGUUGCAGAGUUUCGUGACAAAGGUGAGAAAGCGAAAUGUGAGGCGAGUUUAGGGGGAAGCACAUGCGGGAAACAGUGGGGGUGAAGGGGUAGUUGAGAAGGAGGAAGAGAAGACCUAUGCAGACAACAAAUCACAAUCCAUAUUUGCACCUAUCUAUGCCACAUCAUAAACAUUUAACUUUGUUAGUCCAAAGGUUCAAAGUUAACCGAAUGAACCAUUUUGAAUAGAUUUUAAUUUUUUAAUAACCAUCAUACUUAGUAAAUUGAAUAUUGACUAUAAAUAUAAAAAGGAGAAAGGUAAUUAUAAAAAAACCAUGAAUGAUGAUAAUAGUAUGUAGUAAUCAAACAUGUGUUUCUAAAAUAUACUUAAAUGCACAAUUUCAUUAAAAAAAACGUGCUUUCAUGUACUACUAGAGAAAAAUACUUAAAAAAAUAAAUUAUUUAAGUAAUAAAAAAAGGUUAAAAAAAAUAAAGUCGUCCUUUGAAUAAUGAUUUCGGUGUUUAAAAUCUAACCUGUUUUUGAAUUUUUAUUAUUUUUUCAUUUUGAAAUCGUGGUUUUGAAUACAACUUUUUUUUCCAUUUCUUAAAUUUUAAAAAUUUGUCUAUCUACAUAAUAUUCAACUUAAAUUACACUAAUUUUAAAAUAAGUUUCUAUUGAUAACAAAAACAUGUACUUAUCUUUUACACAAGAAAUCUAUAUUUGCAUAGUGUAUCUCUUACACAAGGAAAACAUUGUAUCAGAAUUUUUAUUUAGUGUUUCUCUUUAAUUAUUUUCCACCCUCAAUGUCGAUCAAAAUACUUAGACAACUAUAGAUUAAUAUUAAACCAUUAAAUCAGUAAUUUCAUUACAAUAAUGGAAUACACAAAUAAAAAUUAAAUUACACACAAAUAUUACUAUAAAUUAUAUAUAUAUAUAUAUAUAUAUAUAUAUAUAUUAUGUGAUGAGAUAUGGUAUAUAAUAUCAUACAUGUCACAUAAUCACUCCACAAACCAGUAGAGCCAAAUCGGUUUAUACCAUUUCCUAUACACACAUUCCAACAGAUGACUAAGUUGCUCCACCUAUUCCUGAUGAGAUCUGCAGCUUGAAAACACUUUUUAAAACACAGCCCUAACCAUAUUUCUAAUGUAUUGCAAAAUCUUAUAACACCGUAAAAUUGUAUUUCUAUUGUACACAAUAGUCAUGGAAAACAUAUUUUCCUCAAUAGUAUUUCUGUAAAACAAAAUACCAGUAUAUGAACUUAAUUAAAAAGAGGUAUGACAGUAACAAUUCCCCCAUUAAAAUUACCCCUAGCACUGACAUGUUCAUCUUCUAAUCCAAAAUCAAGCCCAUCAAUACACCAAUUUGCUAGGCAGUUUGUGGUUUCCUAGCCACAAUUACAUGUACGCCUUCAUGGCAUUUCAUUUCAAAUAAUAACUAUUAGUUAAAUUUGUGAACUUUAAGCAAAGCCAGUCUGAUUCUUUUUGUCUGAUGGUUGUCUAAUAGUUGAUCAUGUGUCCAAAGAAAUGAAAAACAAUAAUUAUAAUAUGUAGUCAGUAAAAUAUAAUUCUUCAGUUGAUCUAGCACUUGAAAUUUUACAUGCUUAUGGAAACAAGCAAUAUUCAUUGUGAUUUCACCCAUGAAUGGGCGGCUCAACUUCGUUAACUGGACUCUACAACUUGUAGGUCAAUGAAAUCUGACCAGCUGAAUCAUUUGGAAGCAAUCCAGACUCUUUAAAUAUCUUUUCAGACUGCACAAGAAUGAACAUACCACUGUAUCUUUUCAAAAUAAUAAUAUCACACUCCACAUGCACUUGACAUGACCAUCGAGAAGAAAAGUGCUCCUUCCUAUAAGCACUUUCUCAAGUAGAAGAAUGAAUAAAUCAACUCAUUUACGGGUCCAAUUCUUCUCCUUCACUUUGCAGCUGUCAGUACCCUUUCGCCUAUUAACAAGAGGGUAAUGUCUGAAUUUUCAGCAGUAGGAUUUGGAGACUUUAACACCACAAGUUGCUGCAUAUGAUAUGUGAACCUUUCUGGACUGCUAUAUUCAAAAAUCAUAUUUGGUUCUUCCACUUCCCAAAAUGAGACAUAACAUGUCUGAAAUUUCUCUAGAAGAAGAAUAAAAAUUCCAAGAUUCAAGCAUUAGGCGUUUUCUUGAUCCUUUGAAAUGAACAACCUGCAUCCAAAAACAAACCAGGAACAGAAGUCAUGUUAAAACAAAAAGGAGUGCUAAGUUUUCGCUACAGUGAGACCAAGAAUGACCUACGGCUAUUCAUAGAGUACUCAACUAGGGUAAAAACUUUCUCCCUUUAUUCAUGUGCUUCAUCAUUUAAAUAUAUGAUGCUUUUGGACUUGUAGAGUCAUUAGGCCGAGACGAACCCAUUGCAUAUAGUAGUAAAAAGAACUACCGUAGUUAUGCUUCACAGGCCCAUUACAUUACGUAGUCUUUCAUCCAUUGUGGGUGUUCCUUCUGUCUAAUGGGCCUGCUGUAGGUGCUGGACUGUGUUGUAUCAUAUUACCUUUAAUAUUUCCCAAAAUUUUCAAGCAAUCAGACAGAAUACUUGCUGUUGUAAGUCUAAAAUAAACAUUUAAAAACUAAACAUAUGAUAUAUCUAUGUAUAAUUUCCAAAAGUAUAACUAAAGCACUCAGCUUAGGACCAAAAAGAAAUCCUGCCAUUGUAAAUCUUCAUUAUACCUUAACAUCCAAUGGCAUGCCACGGAAUUGACCAGCACCCUCUGGCGGAGUCCAAUUGUACAGAGAACAAGGUAAGAACAAUACUGAAGUACCCCCAAUGUCUUCUGAGAAAGCAAGUGCUUUGGUAAACCUUCUGGGGUCAAAAUGAGGUUUCGACAUAACAACCCAAGCAAGAGCUAACUGAUCACCAAGCAUACGAGAAGCGUUUCUAUACUUUGUGCUGUAAACUUUCAAGACCUCUUGUAGGAAAAGCUUUGCCCUGCAUUGAUUAUCAAAUUAAAUUAAAAAAAUUAUUUAUCAAAAAAUAUGUGGGAUAAAUCAAGAAAAUGGGAAAAACAAGCUUGCAAAUGACCAAAGAAGCAUAUCAGAGGCAUUUGCAUGGUAUAUAUGGAGGAUAGGAUAGUGUUACAAUCAUAUAAUUUUCAUUUUACAAUUGCAGGUUUUAAAUCG
RNAcentral lists this long non-coding RNA (5801 nucleotides) under Phaseolus vulgaris (common bean). RNAcentral describes it as "long non-coding RNA (PVUL_LNC000301)". The record is from RNAcentral. Lineage: Eukaryota; Viridiplantae; Streptophyta; Magnoliopsida; Fabales; Fabaceae.